UUCCACUUGACCAUGCUCCAAGCACCUGGG
Molecule: non-coding RNA, 30 nt
Filed under: Homo sapiens (human)
Lineage: Eukaryota; Metazoa; Chordata; Mammalia; Primates; Hominidae
Source: RNAcentral